CAUGCAAGUCGAGCGGUAGCACAGAGAGCUUGCUCUCGGGUGACGAGCGGCGGACGGGUGAGUAAUGUCUGGGAAACUGCCUGAUGGAGGGGGAUAACUACUGGAAACGGUAGCUAAUACCGCAUAAUGUCGCAAGACCAAAGUGGGGGACCUUCGGGCCUCAUGCCAUCAGAUGUGCCCAGAUGGGAUUAGCUAGUAGGUGGGGUAAUGGCUCACCUAGGCGACGAUCCCUAGCUGGUCUGAGAGGAUGACCAGCCACACUGGAACUGAGACACGGUCCAGACUCCUACGGGAGGCAGCAGUGGGGAAUAUUGCACAAUGGGCGCAAGCCUGAUG
This 336-nucleotide ribosomal RNA is filed under the name Klebsiella pneumoniae. Its description in RNAcentral is "bacterial SSU rRNA". It matches the Rfam family "Bacterial small subunit ribosomal RNA", at positions 54 to 388 of the family's 1533-position model. The record is from RNAcentral. Lineage: Bacteria; Pseudomonadati; Pseudomonadota; Gammaproteobacteria; Enterobacterales; Enterobacteriaceae.